UUAAACAUUUAUAAUUCAAAUCGACACGACUCCGAGACAGGAAAUACAGACUAAAACCGUAGACAGAGUAACUAAUAGACCCAAUGACGAUACCUUUCUCACUUACACAAGAAAGAGAGCGAAAAUACCAUAACAAAUGCAUAAGACAAAGACACAAAUACCCAAUUUUUUGUCCCUUAGUGUGUAACCUGUUUUUCAAGAUCCGCAACUUGAGUUGCGAAACAAACUUUGACAGUUCGUGCCUUCAUCGUGCUUGGUGUUCGAAUUUUGGAUAUUAUUUAGUAAAAAAUCGAUACGAGUACAUUGAAAAGACGGUGAAAUUAUCUUAAUAUAGACAUCGAAGUAAAUAGAAUGGUGCGUUGUCGUGUUAUUGCAUGUAUAAGCGAUAGUGAGAAGAAAAUUGCCGGUGUGUCUUUUCACGCAUGAUCCAGACCUACGUAAUUAAUGGAUCGAAGUGGUAGAAAAGAUUGGAUUCUCACAAAAUAUUGUAAAAUAUGAACAAGCCAAUGAAAAAGUAAGAAAUGUGUUUCGUCAUCAAUAAUCAAUCUGCUUAUAUUUUUUGUAUCUACUAAAUUGAUUAUAAAGACAAAAGAAAAAUCUCA
Molecule: long non-coding RNA, 602 nt
Organism: Colias croceus (clouded yellow)
Lineage: Eukaryota; Metazoa; Arthropoda; Insecta; Lepidoptera; Pieridae
Exons: 2
Source: RefSeq, a predicted model, not a curated record